AUUCCCCUAGUAAUGGCGAAUGAAGCGGGAACAGCUCAAAUUUGAAAUCUCCGUCGCCUGCGACGGCGAAUUGUAGUUUCGAGAAGCACUUUCUAGGCGGACCCGGGGCCGUCCAAGUUGCUUGGAACAGCACGUCAUAGAGGGUGACAACCCCGUCUGUGGCGGAACCGGCCGCUCACGAUGCGCUUUCGAAGAGUCGGGUUGUUUGGGAAUGCAGCCCAAAAUGGGUGGUAAACUCCAUCUAAAGCUAAAUACUGGCACGAGACCGAUAGCGAACAAGUACCGUGAGGGAAAGAUGAAAAGCACUUUGAAAAGAGAGUUAAAAAGUACGUGAAACCGUUAAAAGGGAAACGAAUGGGGUUAGCAAUGCGCCGUGCGAGAUUCAGAUGCUGGGCGGGCAGGCCGGGCGGUCUGCGGAUCCGAAUGGACCGCGGCCGUUCGGCUCGGCCCCUCCGCCGUCGCACUUCUCGCCGGCGCGCGUCAGCGUCGGUUGGGACUGGGUCUCAAAGGCGUCGGGAAGGUAGGUCCCGCCCUCCGGGGCGGGACUGUUAUAGCCCGUCGUCGCCAUGGCUCGGACCCGACCGAGGUGCCGCGGCGCGUGCCUCUUCUGGCUGGGGUCCCGUCGUUCCGGUCGGUCGUCGACUGCGGUGGACUGCAUGCAGUGCGCCGCGACUGCUGCCGGUCGCUCCGGCGGUGACCUCACACCACGCGCCCAGGACGCUGGCGGUCACAUGGCCUCAUCCGACCCGUCUUGAAACACGGACCAAGGAGUCUAACAUGUGCGCGAGUCUUCGAGUGAUCGAAACUCCCAGGCGGAAUGAAAGUGAAGGCGGCCUCGGCCGCUGAGGUGAGAACCCCCCCUCGUCGGGGGGCGCAUCAUCGACCGACCUAUUCUACUCUUAGGAAGGUUAGAGUAAGAGCGCAUCUGUUG
This 931-nucleotide ribosomal RNA is filed under the name Anthopleura sp. 2 PL-2017. RNAcentral's name for it is "eukaryotic LSU rRNA". It matches the Rfam family "Eukaryotic large subunit ribosomal RNA", at positions 74 to 811 of the family's 3401-position model. Lineage: Eukaryota; Metazoa; Cnidaria; Anthozoa; Actiniaria; Actiniidae. The record is from RNAcentral.